CGAAAGCGAACCAGCACAGCAAAGCGUGCGUUCUCGUUUGCGUGGGUGGAGCGUGAGCUGUGCUUGGGAAGAGCUUUAGCUCUGAGCUAGGUGGGCAUUGCUUAGGAGAUGGCCGGCUCCGCUUGUGCAUAUACCGUGCGCUUUGGCCGGGAAUAUGAAGAUGAGAUAGAUGACUUUACUCUUCUUGAGGCAACCGGCCAUGCAUCGGCAACAAAGGAUGGGGCAGAGGAGGCCACUGCGGAAGCGCUUAUCUGUGCAGCAAAGCGUGAAUUCGGUGUCGUGGUCAUUGACUUGAAUUUCAGUGAGGUAAAAGCUCUCCGGAAGGAGAAUGAAACUCUUCGCCGGAACAACCUGCUGCUUAGUUCUGGUUGAGCUCAGUCGGUGGAUCAUUUGGAGAUGCUGCAGAAGACGUUGGAAUCAAUCACAAUCGACGCUCUUGCCGGUUGUCCAAAGAUUUCAGUUGGUCAGUUUGCUCAUGAUGCUGCUGUCUGGGCUGAGGAGAAUGUUUGGGGUGCGACUGCUGCGCGGCAAGAGGUCGGCUGCAGGUCCAUGGAUGAGAAUUGAGCUCCACGGUGUUUAGUCUCAAGUGUCUGUAGUUUGUGCAUUCGGCAAUGUUUUGUGUACCCAAAAAAACAGCUACCUGAGUUUAUCAGGCUCCGCAUUA
Molecule: long non-coding RNA, 664 nt
Organism: Panicum virgatum (switchgrass)
Lineage: Eukaryota; Viridiplantae; Streptophyta; Magnoliopsida; Poales; Poaceae
Exons: 2
Source: RefSeq, a predicted model, not a curated record